GAAAUAUUAGUCUAAUACAAAACAGCUGAUUUCGACUUAGCAGAUUGUGAUGCAAUUUCACAAUAUUUC
This 69-nucleotide transfer RNA is filed under the name Allobates grillisimilis. RNAcentral's name for it is "tRNA-Arg". It matches the Rfam family "tRNA". Rfam says of the family: Transfer RNA (tRNA) molecules are approximately 80 nucleotides in length. Their secondary structure includes four short double-helical elements and three loops (D, anti-codon, and T loops). Further hydrogen bonds mediate the characteristic L-shaped molecular structure. tRNAs have two regions of fundamental functional importance: the anti-codon, which is responsible for specific mRNA codon recognition, and the 3' end, to which the tRNAs corresponding amino acid is attached (by aminoacyl-tRNA synthetases). tRNAs cope with the degeneracy of the genetic code in two manners: having more than one tRNA (with a specific anti-codon) for a particular amino acid; and 'wobble' base-pairing, i.e. permitting non-standard base-pairing at the 3rd anti-codon position. Lineage: Eukaryota; Metazoa; Chordata; Amphibia; Anura; Aromobatidae. The record is from RNAcentral.